CGGGUGAGUAACACGUGGGUAACCUGCCUAAAAGAAGGGGAUAACACUUGGAAACAGGUGCUAAUACCGUAUAUCUCUAAAGAUCGCAUGAUCUUUAGAUGAAAGAUGGUUCUGCUAUCGCUUUUAGAUGGACCCGCGGCGUAUUAACUAGUUGGUGGGGUAACGGCCUACCAAGGUGAUGAUACGUAGCCGAACUGAGAGGUUGAUCGGCCACAUUGGGACUGAGACACGGCCCAA
This 237-nucleotide ribosomal RNA is filed under the name uncultured bacterium. Its description in RNAcentral is "partial 16S ribosomal RNA". It matches the Rfam family "Bacterial small subunit ribosomal RNA", at positions 103 to 334 of the family's 1533-position model. The record is from RNAcentral.